CUUUUCUAAACACACAGAAAAAGCAUUUUGAGCCAAAAGGCCAAAUGUCUUCCUCUCCUUGGAUAGUGUUUUGGGUGGAGGUGGACUGGACAAGUGCUGGCCCACAUACAGAAAUGAGAUCAGAGCAGACUACGUGUGGUUCUAAGAAAAUGCUACAUUGAGAAACUGGCCAUGAGACUAUCUCCUGAAGCACUACCAAAGACAAGGGCUCCAGGACACCCAUCCAACCUUCUAUCAUGAUGAGCCAUAAUCCAUUUAGAGCUAAGGCAGUCAUCAUGGACCUGAAGAAGAGAACAGACAAUGAUGUGAACAGGACAAGACCGCACCAGUCUGAAUGCACUGGUUAGUGUAAUGAAGAGGCAAUUUGGAGAGAAAAAUAAGAUAUAAAAACUGACUGGAUGUAGCUAAUGUAAUAGAAAGAUAAACUACAGAUGACUCUGAGGUCCCUGGUAAGUUCCUUUCCAGAACCACUCAGAGAGAAGCAGAGAUGAGCUCCUCUCAAACUCAAGAACUGGGAUUCUCCUGCAACUCGUAUGAGAAACCUGUCUCUGUGCAUAGAGUAAAUCUGUGUUCCCACUCCAGCUCUUGCCACUGGAAAUGGGGAUUUCUUGGAGACAUACUAAGCACUAUCUCCCCAUGAUAGAGUCAUCAGUUAACUUUACAAGAUUCCUCCUGUAACCUUCAGUAUGGAUCAGUAUGUAAUGACAUGCUUUUAAGUGGAAAGCACAUUGGAGAUGCCAUGUCAAGACAACAGCAAACAGAUGUUCUGGCAAAAAAGGAGUGCCCUCAUGUGCUGAUGAGUGGCAGAAUUUCAUGACAACAGAGUUGAUACCUAAUUUCUGCCUGUCAUCCACCCAAAUCUAUGCCCUUACAAAGGAGCAUUGAUGGACAAUACAUCUAACAAAGAUGUAAACUAAAGGAUAAUGUAAAAAGUCAUCAGUGAGCAAAGAGGAUCAUGAAGGUUUCAAGAUCUUUCGAAAACAUAAUCCAUGUAAGUUUGGAGAGUAGCAUGAGGCUGUAACCAC
RNAcentral lists this long non-coding RNA (1025 nucleotides) under Cricetulus griseus (Chinese hamster). RNAcentral's name for it is "lncRNA (ENSCGRG00015036434.1)". The record is from RNAcentral. Lineage: Eukaryota; Metazoa; Chordata; Mammalia; Rodentia; Cricetidae.